AUGCUACUCCCUCCGUCCGGAAAUACUUGUCCUAAAAAUGGUUGAAUCUAGACUUAUUUUAGUUAUAGAUACAUCCAUUUUAUCCAGUUUUAGGACAAGUAUUUUCGGACGGAGGGAGUAUUAC
Non-coding RNA from Triticum aestivum (bread wheat), 124 nucleotides. Lineage: Eukaryota; Viridiplantae; Streptophyta; Magnoliopsida; Poales; Poaceae. The record is from Rfam.